UAGAACGGCGGACUGUUAAUCCGUAUGUCACUGGUUCGAGUCCAGUCAGAGGAG
RNAcentral lists this transfer RNA (54 nucleotides) under Klebsiella quasipneumoniae. RNAcentral's name for it is "tRNA_Asn_GTT". It matches the Rfam family "tRNA", at positions 19 to 71 of the family's 71-position model. From Rfam's summary of the family: Transfer RNA (tRNA) molecules are approximately 80 nucleotides in length. Their secondary structure includes four short double-helical elements and three loops (D, anti-codon, and T loops). The record is from RNAcentral. Lineage: Bacteria; Pseudomonadati; Pseudomonadota; Gammaproteobacteria; Enterobacterales; Enterobacteriaceae.